GUAGGUGGCAAGCGUUAUCCGGAAUUACUGGGCGUAAAGCGCACGCAGGCGGCCGUUUAAGUUUGACGUGAAAGCUCCUGGCUUAACCGGGAGAGGUCGUUGAAGACUGGACGGCUUGAGACGAGGAGAGGGGUGCGGAAUUCCCGGUGUAGUGGUGGAAUGCGUAGAUAUCGGGAGGAACACCAGUGGCGAAAGCGGCACCCUGGCCUCGGUCUGACGCUCAUGUGCGAAGGCGUGGGGAGCGAACGGGAUUAGAUACCCCGGUAGUCCACGCGGUAAACGAUGAACACUGGGUGUGGGGAGCGUAAAGCUGUCCGUGCCGAAGCCAACGCGUUAAGUGUUCCGCCUGGGGAGUACGGCCGCAAGGCUAAA
This 372-nucleotide ribosomal RNA is filed under the name uncultured bacterium. RNAcentral describes it as "bacterial SSU rRNA". It matches the Rfam family "Bacterial small subunit ribosomal RNA", at positions 527 to 898 of the family's 1533-position model. The record is from RNAcentral.